RNAcentral lists this ribosomal RNA (253 nucleotides) under uncultured bacterium. Its description in RNAcentral is "partial 16S ribosomal RNA". It matches the Rfam family "Bacterial small subunit ribosomal RNA", at positions 524 to 776 of the family's 1533-position model. The record is from RNAcentral.
UACGUAGGUGGCUAGCGUUGUCCGGAUUUACUGGGCGUAAAGAGCGCGCAGGCGGUCGUUCAAGUCGAGUGUGAAAGCCCCCGGCUCAACUGGGGAGGGUCACUCGAUACUGAUCGACUUGAAGGCAGGAGAGGGAAGCGGAAUUCCCGGUGUAGUGGUGAAAUGCGUCGAUAUCGGGAGGAACACCAGUGGCGAAGGCGGCUUCCUGGCCUGUUCUUGACGCUGAGGCGCGAAAGCUAGGGGAGCAAACGGG